RNAcentral lists this transfer-messenger RNA (356 nucleotides) under Candidatus Syntrophonatronum acetioxidans. It matches the Rfam family "transfer-messenger RNA". Rfam says of the family: Bacterial tmRNA, also known as 10Sa RNA or SsrA, is named for its dual tRNA and mRNA-like properties. The record is from RNAcentral. RNAcentral also lists the same sequence under 1 other name. Lineage: Bacteria; Bacillati; Bacillota; Clostridia; Eubacteriales; Syntrophomonadaceae.
GGGGGCGCAAGGAUUCGACGGGAGUUUUAUGGGUGGAAGUUGCGAGCCCGGGACCAUGCCCCGGUGAUCAACAUGGAUCCUAAAAUAAACGCAGAAGAUAAUUACGCUUUAGCUGCUGCUUAAACAGCAGUAGCCGUCUCUCCGGUUUUUGCCUGUGAAACUGGAAGGGGCGUCAAGGAGCAGGCUACCAUCUCCUGUAUGCUCAGGCAGGGGAAAAGGGAAAUUAACAUGAGCUAGUGAGGACAAAAUCCCGUCCUGAGGAAAUUGUCCCACGAAAAGCCAAAUCAGGACUAGGCUCGUAGAGGCUUCUGCUGGUGAACUUCCGGACGCGGGUUCGAUUCCCGCCGCCUCCACCA